GUCUACGGCCAUGCAACCCUGAACAAUCCCGAUCCUGUCUGAUCUCAGAAGCUAAGCAGGGUCGGACUUGCUUAGUACUUGGAUAGGAGACCACCUAGGAAGACUGGGUGCUGUAGGCA
RNAcentral lists this ribosomal RNA (119 nucleotides) under Pteropus alecto (black flying fox). Lineage: Eukaryota; Metazoa; Chordata; Mammalia; Chiroptera; Pteropodidae. The record is from RNAcentral.